Molecule: non-coding RNA, 80 nt
Organism: Cordylochernes scorpioides
Lineage: Eukaryota; Metazoa; Arthropoda; Arachnida; Pseudoscorpiones; Chernetidae
Source: the annotation of a GenBank genome assembly
AUAAAGUGUCCAGGGAUGGGAAUCGAACCCACAGUGUUCAGCUUACCGGGCAGAUGCCAUGACCACUAGGCUACCCUUCA